GAUGAACGCUGGCGGUAGGCCUAACACAUGCAAGUCGAACGGCAGCACAGUAAGAGCUUGCUCUUACGGGUGGCGAGUGGCGGACGGGUGAGGAAUACAUCGGAAUCUACUUUUUCGUGGGGGAUAACGUAGGGAAACUUACGCUAAUACCGCAUACGACCUACGGGUGAAAGCAGGGGAUCUUCGGACCUUGCGCGGUUGAAUGAGCCGAUGUCGGAUUAGCUAGUUGGCGGGGUAAAGGCCCACCAAGGCGACGAUCCGUAGCUGGUCUGAGAGGAUGAUCAGCCACACUGGAACUGAGACACGGUCCAGACUCCUACGGGAGGCAGCAGUGGGGAAUAUUGGACAAUGGGCGCAAGCCUGAUCCAGCCAUACCGCGUGGGUGAAGAAGGCCUUCGGGUUGUAAAGCCCUUUUGUUGGGAAAGAAAAGCAGCAGGUUAAUACCCCGCUGUUCUGACGGUACCCAAAGAAUAAGCACCGGCUAACUUCGUG
This 492-nucleotide ribosomal RNA is filed under the name uncultured bacterium. RNAcentral describes it as "partial 16S ribosomal RNA". It matches the Rfam family "Bacterial small subunit ribosomal RNA", at positions 28 to 507 of the family's 1533-position model. The record is from RNAcentral.